UCCAUGUAUACAGGGAACGUGAGGACUGCAAGGAGUGAGGUAUUGAAACCCAGGGCAUGUGUUCACGUAUGCCAGGAGUUUGGUUUUCUGAAAAGGAGCAAAUCUGGGGUGUGACUUUUGAGGCACGUAGAAUUUCAUGGAACUUUGACUAGAGGUUGGUUUCCAAGUUCAGCGUCUUCUGAAGGGAGGUUGGGCAAGGCAGUCAUAGGUUCCCUUUUACCAUUGGGAGUGUGUAGACAUUCCCACCCGACAUCCUGAAGGCAGCAUCCUGUGAGAUGGAAGGGAAGAGCCUGAGAUCGUUUGGUUGUCAAGAAGGAAGUUCAGGUCUGGCCGAUUGGCGCGUUGGUUAAGAGCUGGCUUGUGACACCAGCUCUGAGCAGCAGGACCCUGGUUCGGAUCCCACA
Long non-coding RNA from Hipposideros armiger (great roundleaf bat), 404 nucleotides. RefSeq lists it as uncharacterized. The record is from RefSeq and is a predicted model, not a curated record. The transcript has 3 exons. NCBI's taxonomy places the organism in Eukaryota, Metazoa, Chordata, Mammalia, Chiroptera, Hipposideridae.